GGGCAUGGCGCAGCCUACACAUGCAGUCCGAACGGUAGCACAGAAGUAAGCUUGCUCCUCCGGGUGACGAAGUGGCGGACGGGUGAGUAAUGUCUGGGAAACUGCCUGAUGGAGGGGGAUAACUACUGGAAACGGUAGCUAAUACCGCAUAACGUCGCAAGACCAAAGAGGGGGACCUUCGGGCCUCUUGCCAUCAGAUGUGCCCAGAUGGGAUUAGCUAGUAGGUGGGGUAACGGCUCACCUAGGCGACGAUCCCUAGCUGGUCUGAGAGGAUGACCAGCCACACUGGAACUGAGACACGGUCCAGACUCCUACGGGAGGCAGCAGUGGGGAAUAUUGCACAAUGGGCGCAAGCCUGAUGCAGCCAUGCCGCGUGUAUGAAGAAGGCCUUCGGGUUGUAAAGUACUUUCAGCGGGGAGGAAGGCGAUGAGGUUAAUAACCUUGUCGAUUGACGUUACCCGCAGAAGAAGCACCGGCUAACUCCGUGCCAGCAGCCGCGGUAAUACGGAGGGUGCAAGCGUUAAUCGGAAUUACUGGGCGUAAAGCGCACGCAGGCGGUCUGUCAAGUCCGAUGUGAAAUCCCCGGGCUCAACCUGGGAACUGCAUUCGAAACUGGCAGGCUAGAGUCUUGUAGAAGGGGGUAGAAUUCCCAGUGUGGCCCUGCAAAUGCGGUAGAAAUCUGUUAAGAAUACCGGAGUCC
Molecule: ribosomal RNA, 700 nt
Filed under: Klebsiella oxytoca
Lineage: Bacteria; Pseudomonadati; Pseudomonadota; Gammaproteobacteria; Enterobacterales; Enterobacteriaceae
Description: bacterial SSU rRNA
Rfam family: Bacterial small subunit ribosomal RNA
Source: RNAcentral